RNAcentral lists this ribosomal RNA (496 nucleotides) under uncultured bacterium. RNAcentral describes it as "partial 16S ribosomal RNA". It matches the Rfam family "Bacterial small subunit ribosomal RNA", at positions 29 to 507 of the family's 1533-position model. The record is from RNAcentral.
AUGAACGCUGGCGGCGUGCCUAAUCCCUGCAAGUCGAGCGAACGGACGAGAAGCUUGCUUCUCUGAUGUUAGCGGCGGACGGGUGAGUAACACGUGGAUAACCUACCUAUAAGACUGGGAUAACUUCGGGAAACCGUAGCUAAUACCGGAUAAUAUUUUGAACCGCAUGGUUCAAAAGUGAAAGACGGUCUUGCUGUCACUUAUAGAUGGAUCCGCGCUGCAUUAGCUAGUUGGUAAGGUAACGGCUUACCAAGGCAACGAUGCAUAGCCGACCUGAGAGGGUGAUCGGCCACACUGGAACUGAGACACGGUCCAGACUCCUACGGGAGGCAGCAGUAGGGAAUCUUCCGCAAUGGGCGAAAGCCUGACGGAGCAACGCCGCGUGAGUGAUGAAGGUCUUCGGAUCGUAAAACUCUGUUAUUAGGGAAGAACAUAUGUGUAAGUAACUGUGCACAUCUUGACGGUGCCUAAUCAGAAAGCCACGGCUAACUACGUG